This 365-nucleotide long non-coding RNA is filed under the name Equus asinus (donkey). RNAcentral's name for it is "lncRNA (ENSEASG00005032893.1)". Lineage: Eukaryota; Metazoa; Chordata; Mammalia; Perissodactyla; Equidae. The record is from RNAcentral.
UGACAUUUCUUAUACCUGAACGUAAAAUGCAGUGGCAUUACAAUUAUUCAAAUUAUCAUGGUGGCAUGGGAUAAAGGUGGAUAGCAAGCAUCAGGAAAUCAAAUGUCUGGUGACAACAGCAAUUUCACAGGUGAUGGAGCCAGCUGGUUUCUUCAGAAGAUUUUAAAGAGCAUACAUGGAGAAAAGAAGAAAUUGAAAACCGUGAAUGUCCCACUGAGAAGAACAAAGUGGACAAUCAGCAAGAUUUAAUGGCAGAAAGAGUCCCUCAUUUCCUGCAGGGCAGAAAUAACUGAAAACUAAAUCCAGUGCCUGCUGGCUGGAGACGACAGUGAGGGUGCUGCAGUGGAAUUGGGUUCCCAGCUCUG